UAUUCGGUUAAGCGCCAUAACCAAUAACCUUUAUCACCAAUUUUGAGCGCAUCCGACCACACUAGCCCAUCGAGUG
This 76-nucleotide transfer RNA is filed under the name Shewanella putrefaciens. RNAcentral describes it as "tRNA-His". Lineage: Bacteria; Pseudomonadati; Pseudomonadota; Gammaproteobacteria; Alteromonadales; Shewanellaceae. The record is from RNAcentral.